Non-coding RNA from Onthophagus taurus, 576 nucleotides. The record is from RefSeq and is a predicted model, not a curated record. NCBI's taxonomy places the organism in Eukaryota, Metazoa, Arthropoda, Insecta, Coleoptera, Scarabaeidae.
CUAUUUCCAUAUUUAAAUGUAGUUAAACUUUCAUAUUCGAUUCGGGAUAUUGUUUAUGCGGCUGUCAAGACAACUGUCAGCUGUCAGAAAUAAAUAAUUCCCCACCAGUUUAGACAGUGACAGGAGAUUACCAGGAAAAUUAAAAAAUAGAUUUUCGGCAUUAAUACAACUGGAACUCUCAAAUUGUUAAAGUGUUAGCAAACGUAAAAACGAGUAAAAAAUGUUAUUUUCAAGAUUGCGACCAAUUUUAAGUCAGAAUUUAUUAAAAAACUUCGAAACGGUUCGUCAUAAAACGUACACACGAAGUGGAGGUAUAUUGCCAGAACCUCCAAUCACUAAAUUUGGAUUAUUAGGAGUGAUUUGUACGGUUAUACCUGGAUUACUAAUCGGAGCCACUAUCAGUAAGAAUAUGGCUAGUUUUCUGGAGGAAAAUGAUCUAUUUGUACCUUCUGAUGAUGACGAUGAUGAUGAUUAAAUGCAAAGUAGUAACAUAAAAGGUAUUAAAUUAUAAGUGAUUAAUAUGUUCAUCUAAAUUAUUGUUCCUGAAAGUUAAAUAAAACAUAAGUAGUAAAUAAA